RNAcentral lists this ribosomal RNA (497 nucleotides) under uncultured bacterium. RNAcentral describes it as "bacterial SSU rRNA". It matches the Rfam family "Bacterial small subunit ribosomal RNA", at positions 903 to 1397 of the family's 1533-position model. The record is from RNAcentral.
AAAUGAAUAGACGGGGGCCCGCACAAGCGGUGGAGCAUGUGCUUUAAUUCGAUGCAACGCGAAGAACCUUACCCAGGCUUGACAUGGGGGCGAAAGACUGUAGAAAUACGGAACCUCCGCAAGGACGCCCUACACAGGUGCUGCAUGGUUGUCGUCAGCUCGUGUCGUGAGAUGUUGGGUUAAGUCCCGCAACGAGCGCAACCCUCGCCCUUAGUUGCCAGCGAGUGAAGUCGGGAACUCUAAGGGGACUGCCUAGUUUAACUAGGAGGAAGGUGGGGAUGACGUCAAAUCCUCAUGGCCCUUACGCCUGGGGCUAGACACGUGCUACAAUGGUCGGUACAGCGGGCAGCAAGCUGGUGACAGCAAGCUAAUCCCUAAAAACCGGUCUCAGUUCGGAUUGGAGUCUGCAAUUCGACUCCAUGAAGCUGGAAUCGCUAGUAAUCGCGGAUCAGCAUGCCGCGGUGAAUACGUUCCCGGGCCUUGUACACACCGCCCGU